GGGGUGUCCGGGGGGUCAUGGGGUGUCCAGGGGGUCACGGAGUAUGGAAUGUUGGGGACGGGGCGUUAUGGGGUGUCCCCGGGGUCGUUGGGAACCUGGAAUGCGGUGAUGGGGUGUCCCUGGGCAUGGAAUGCUGGGGAAGGGGGUUAUGGGGUCCUUGGGGUGUCCUAGGGGUACUAAGAGCAUGGAAUGCUGGGAGGAGGGGGGCUGUGGGGAGUCCCUGGGAUGCUGGGAGCGUGGGAUGCUGGGGAGGGAGGUAUGGGCUGUCCUUGGGGUGCUGGGAGUAUGGAAUGUUGGGGAGGGUUAUGGGAUGUCCCUGGGGGUAAUGGAAGCAUGGAAUGCUGGGGAGGGAGGUAUGGGGUGUCCUCGAGGUGCUGGGGACAUGGAAUGUUGAGAAGGGGUUAUGGGGUGUCCUUGAGGUGCUGGGAGCACGGAAUAUUGGGGAGGGGGUGUUAAAGGAUGUCUCUGGAGUGCGGGGAGCAUGGAAUGCUCCGGGAGGGGUGGUUAUGGGGUGUCCCUGGGGUGCUGGGAGCAGGGAAUGCUGGGGAGGGGAGGUUAUAGGGUGUCCCCGGGGGUGCUGGGAACAGAGGGACUCCCACCCCCCCUUUCCUCUUCCACGCCCAGCACGGGGGUUUGGUGGUUUUGGGGUCACUGGGGAGGUGCUGGACACCCCUUCUUGGUGCUGCUCUUGUCCUGUGUCCUUCCACAGCCACUGGAAAACGGGGAACCCCACGUGUGGGGGUGGGAACGUCCCUGUGCAGCGGGGAGGGGACGGGGCAGGGGAGAUAACGGGGUUUUUCCGGCACCGCUUCCCCAAGGACACAACGGCCCCGGAGCCAAAACAGCUCCGGCUGCCCCAAGGACGGGCGGAGCUUCCCCAGCCGGGAUUAUCCAGCAGCGCUGGGAGCUCAGGGCUUUGGGAACGACCCCAAAUCCCACCUCUCAGCCCCCAAACCCCCUCCCCCCCGCCGUGUGCUCCCGAAGGACGCCCCGGGAGCGGCCGACUUUUCCCAUGUUUUAUUUGUGUUUUGAGAUUACAGAGUCUUUAUUGCUGAUCUAAUACAAUCACUCAGACAUUAAUAUUUAAAACAUCCUUUUGAAAUGUUGCGGGUGCGACGGUUCCGUUCCCUCCCUGCUGAUGACGGGUUUUGCUUUGUUAUUCCUAAAAGUUCAGGACAGAAUUAAAUUUAUUUUAUUCCUUAUUUUGCUGGUGUUACCUAAAAAUCUCCUUUUUUUUUUCCUAAAGUCUUGGAAAAAAAACCAAACAAACGCGUUACAUUUAAAAAAAAAACAAACAAAAAAAAAGAUAAAAGAAACCAAACCCCAUUAACAUUUAAUUUAGAGAUGAUCACAGGAUAUGAUUCCAGGUUGAUUAGGAAAAAGCCAAGCGAGCCAAGAAGCUUUACAGGAGCAGCAGAACACGGAGAAGAGUUUGGAGAACCGAGGUGGGAAAGGCCAGGUGGGAUUUUAUUACUGAUAUUUUAUUUUUUUUCCCCCUUCUUGUCUACCUGGAAGAUGAGACGGGCACGGAGGGAUCCGUGGAUCAGCAGCACCACUGGCUGCGGCACGAGCGACGGACACGGGGCGGGAAGCGGCGGCGGGAGCUGCUCCGGAGGGUCCUGGGGGUGGAGAGGGGUUUUCCCGGGGUGGGUGGGACACCCGUUCUUCCAGGAGCUGCUCCCACGUGGCCCCACAGCCGCCUGUCCCCUUGUCCAGGAGCAGAUUCCAGGUGGGGCCUCUCCAGGAACUCGGGGCUGACACAGACCAGGGCGGAUCCGGCGCGGGGAGAGACCCGGACGGGACGUUUCCAACGGCUCAGGGGACUCUUCCCAAAAAAAGCUCAGGAUCUGGGUAAAACUCGUGGGCAGAGAUGACUUCAGGUCUGUGGUUCCAGGUCAGUCUGUGAUGAAGCUCCUCAAGGCCUUAAGGUCUCCUCAGAGCCUUCUCAAAGCCCUCAGGUCUCCUCAAAGCCUGAACAUCUUCCCAAGGUCUUCCCAAGGCCUCCUCAAGGUCUCCCAAGGUCUCCAAAGGUUUUCCUUCCAGGUUUUGAGAGAAUUCAGAGACAAACUUGGAAUAUGCUGACACAGGGAACGUUUGCUCCAAAGCUCACGACCCGAGAACCACGGGAAGAACUUGGAUGCCGAGACCGUAAUUCCACAGUUUUUCCUUCCUUGUGCGUGAACGAGCUGCCACAAAAGGGUUUUUCAUGAUGGCAAAGAAGCCCAGGAGGACAAAACACGACUCUGUAGCUGAUGAGAGACUCGGGAACCAAAGCAGCAGCCAGGGGAUAAAGGGGUUUGUGCUCACGGGGUCGGGCAGUUUUAUUUUAGACGGAUCAUGUUCUCCACGUGGAUAAUGAAAGCGACUUGGGAAGUCACCUUGGGAAGCGUGUCAGUGCUCCAGAGGGACAUCCUGGGAUAAAGCAAGGAAUCAUGGCCAAUCCCUCAGCUCUGAUGCUUCAAGAUCUGAGGCGACUGAAGGGUUUCAGUGACACUGAAUCCGUGUGGAGGAUCCUCCACCAGACGUCUCAUCCACUCCAGGGGGGGGUUCCCAGAUCCAUAAAUAAAGUAAUGAAAUAAUCAACCCAGAAAAGAAAACUCCAAACACUUCCAACGAGGACUGAAACGCAGCUGGAGAAAGCCCUGGCGUGGACGGGGGUCCCCCCAGCCGGGAUGUCCGGGGAGCUCUGCCCGGCUCGGGAAGAGCUCCCGGUGCAUGAGCAGCAUCUGCCGGGGGAGCUCUUCCAGCAGCACAGCGGGAGCUGCCCCGGCCCCCCCGGGAACACGGCUUUGGUUGAUCCAGAGAGGUUGGCACUGGGAACGAGAGCAGCAGGAAAACGCUGCGGAGCUGCGGGAGCGGCGCUGGGCUCUGCCCGCCCGGCUCCUCCCUGCCCGGCUCCUUCCCACAGCUUCCAGCAGCGCUAAGGCGACGUUCUCCAGAGGGUUGGUGGCACCAGCCCUCGGAAAGUUCCACAGCACGGACGAGAGGCUUCUCCAGAGGGAUCCACCGGGGCGGCUCCGGAUGGGCGGCAGCAUCCGGCCCCUCGCCGGAGAGAACGAGGUUUUUGGCUUCGUCAUCAAACAGCAGGAGAAAUUCAAACCCAUCCCGGGAUCCCGCGCCGCUGGAAGCAGCGCUGGGACAUGGAGGGGACCAACGUCGACUUCCGAGUCGGACCGUGUGGCUCCACCGGCGACAACGGACUGUCCCAUGGCUCGAUCCCACCAGCUCCUUCCUCAUCCUCCCAGCCCCGAGAAAGAACGAAUCCAAAGAGGAAAACGAAAGGAACGGAAAAGAAAUCCAGCGUGUCCCAGUCCCGCGGCAGCACGAACACCAGUGGCAGAGGCCGCAUGAACAGUAUCCUAAUUUAAUAAAUAAAUAA
Pseudopipra pipra is the source of this 3379-nucleotide long non-coding RNA. RefSeq lists it as uncharacterized. The record is from RefSeq and is a predicted model, not a curated record. The transcript is spliced from 2 exons. NCBI's taxonomy places the organism in Eukaryota, Metazoa, Chordata, Aves, Passeriformes, Pipridae.